Molecule: microRNA precursor, 191 nt
Filed under: Oryza brachyantha (malo sina)
Lineage: Eukaryota; Viridiplantae; Streptophyta; Magnoliopsida; Poales; Poaceae
Description: MIR812 microRNA precursor family
Rfam family: MIR812 microRNA precursor family
Source: Rfam by way of RNAcentral
AAUAAAUCAAUCUUUCACUUUUUAUCUAUAAUAUUUAACUAUUCGUCUUAUUAGAAAAAAUUAUGAUUAAUAUUUUUAUUUUUAUUAGAUGAUAAAUCGUGAAUAAUACUUUACGUAUGACUAAUUUUUUUAAUUUCUUGAAAAUUUUUCAAAUAAGACGGAUGAUCAAACGCUGGAUACAACAACCAAAG